Molecule: ribosomal RNA, 723 nt
Filed under: uncultured bacterium
Lineage: Bacteria
Description: bacterial SSU rRNA
Rfam family: Bacterial small subunit ribosomal RNA
Source: RNAcentral
CGAACGAGAAAGUGGAGCAAUCCAUGAGUACAGUGGCGUACGGGUGAGUAACACGUGGGUAAUCUACCUCUUAGUGUGGAAUAACCCUGGGAAACCGGGGCUAAUACCGCAUAAGCUCGAGAGAGGAAAGCAGCAAUGCGCUGAGAGAGGAGCCCGCGGCCGAUUAGCUAGUUGGCAGGGUAAAAGCCUACCAAGGCAAAGAUCGGUAGCCGGCCUGAGAGGGCACACGGCCACACUGGCACUGAAACACGGGCCAGACUCCUACGGGAGGCAGCAGUGGGGAAUCUUGCACAAUGGGGGCAACCCUGAUGCAGCGACGCCGCGUGAGCGAUGAAGCCCUUCGGGGUGUAAAGCUCUUUCGGCAGGGAAGAUUAUGACGGUACCUGCAGAAGCAGCUGCGGCUAACUACGUGCCAGCAGCCGCGGUAAUACGUAGGCAGCAAGCGUUGUUCGGAGUUACUGGGCGUAAAGGGUGUGUAGGCGGUUCUCUAAGUUUGGUGUGAAAUCUCCCGGCUCAACUGGGAGGGUGCGCCGAAUACUGAAGGACUAGAGUACGGGAGAGGAGAGUGGAAUUCCUGGUGUAGCGGUGAAAUGCGUAGAUAUCAGGAGGAACACCGGUGGUGUAGACGGCUCUCUGGACCGUAACUGACGCUGAGACACGGAAGCGUGGGUAGCAAACAGGAUUAGAUACCCUGGUAGUCCACGCCCUAAACGAUGCAUAUUU